AGAAUAUAGAAAAUAAAAGUUUGUGAAUUAUGAAAUUGCAUGCCAGAAAUUAUUGUCAUUGUAUUACUUGAGGAGAUCAUGCCUACAAUCUUAACCUAAGAACCUGAAGAUAUGUUAAAAUAAUUAGAAUAUGGUCUAUCCCCAAAAAAUAUUGGUUUUGAAAUGGUAAUCUCACCUAAUUACCAAUACUAAAAUGCACAACAAAUGUUUGGAAACAGUAUAACUAGAACUUCUUUUGUGCUGGAAAUACCAACUACCUCCAUCAUACCUAGAUAGAUAGAUACUCUUUCUAAAUUAUCUCUGUUUCAUAUGCCUUCAGAAAAUAACAAGAACAACAAAAAUAAUCAAUUAUUUUUAAAGGAUUCUUGGAGGAAGAGUGGUAGCUUUUUAGAGCUUUGUUCCAGAAAAACAUAAAAACAAUAAUCAGUGCUUAAUAUUUGUUUGCUCAAUUCAUUGUUUGUCCCUAAACACAUCUGCAGUCAGUGGUGUGUUCAAUUAGAUUCAGCCAAAUUAACAUUCCUUUACUGUUUCCAUUGCCAUUGUGAUAGGAGGCAGUCUCAGUAGUUUCAAUGUGUGCAUGUGAUAAAUAUAAGGCACCUUCAUUUGUAAUCAGGACAAAAAUGAUGUCAUACUUCAGUCACAAUCUGUCAGUAUAGUAAUUCCUAUGUGGGAGAUGAAUGAGCAUAGUCUUUUGAAAUAUUUACUAAAAUUGGCAUGUGAUUUGAAGUUUUCAUAUAAAGUAUUUCCUCCCAAAUAUGUUAAACUCAUUUUAGUUAAAUAUUUCCUAGAUUGAAUAAUUUCCCAUUUUUAAGAAAUUUUUG
This 821-nucleotide long non-coding RNA is filed under the name Marmota monax (woodchuck). Lineage: Eukaryota; Metazoa; Chordata; Mammalia; Rodentia; Sciuridae. The record is from RNAcentral.